GGGUGCUUCGGCGCCCGACCUCCAACCCUUUGUCUACCUUACCACUGUUGCCUCGGCGGGUUUGCGCCCUACCUUAACCGGUAGAGUGAACUCCCGCCGGCGGCCUACAACCAAAACUCUUGUUUAAACACCGUUUAUCUGAGAACAAAAACAAUAACUUCAAAACUAUUAACAACGGAUCUCUUGGUUCUGGCAUCGAUGAAGAACGCAGCGAAAUGCGAUAAGUAAUGUGAAUUGCAGAAUUCAGUGAAUCAUCGAAUCUUUGAACGCACAUUGCGCCCUUUGGUAUUCCGAAGGGCAUGCCUGUUCGAGCGUCAUUAUCAACCAUCAAGCUCUGCUUGGCAUUGGGUGUCGACCCCCCCUCACCGGGUGGUCUCGCCUCAAACUGUUCGGCGGUGGCUCAGGGCCUCAAGCGUUAGUAAUACUUCCCGCUUCGGAGAAACUGAGUUGCCUGCCUCCAGAAACCCCCAUCUCAAGGUUGACCUCGGAUCAGGUAGGGAUACCCGCUGAACUUAAGCAUAUCAAUAAGCGGAGGAAAAGAAACCAACAGGGAUUGCCCUAGUAACGGCGAGUGAAGCGGCAACAGCUCAAAUUUGAAAUCUGGCGCAAGCCCGAGUUGUAAUUUGUAGAGGAUGUUUCGGCGUCGGCCCCGUCCUAAGUUCCUUGGAACAGGACGUCCUAGAGGGUGAGAACCCCGUCUUCGGUCGGGUCGCCGUCGCCAUGUGAAACUCCUUCGACGAGUCGAGUUGUUUGGGAAUGCAGCUCUAAGCGGGAGGUAAAUUUCUUCUAAAGCUAAAUAACGGCCAGAGACCGAUAGCGCACAAGUAGAGUGAUCGAAAGAUGAAAAGCACUUUGGAAAGAGAGUUAAAAAGCACGUGAAAUUGUUAAUAGGGAAGCUCAAGCUGCCAGACUUGGCCUCGACUCUUCGGUGUCGAGGGCAGGCCAGCAUCAGUUCGGGCGGCCUGAUAAAGACCUCGGGAAUGUAGCUCCUCCGGGAGUGUUAUAGCCUGGGGUGUAAUG
Molecule: ribosomal RNA, 1020 nt
Filed under: Arthoniomycetes sp.
Lineage: Eukaryota; Fungi; Ascomycota; Arthoniomycetes
Description: eukaryotic LSU rRNA
Rfam family: Eukaryotic large subunit ribosomal RNA (bases 480-1020)
Source: RNAcentral